GACGUAGGGCGCGAGCGUUGUCCGGAUUUAUUGGGCGUAAAGAGCUCGUAGGCGGCUUGUCGCGUCAACUGUGAAAACCCGUGGCUCAACCAUGUGGUCUGCAGUCGAUACGGGCAGGCUAGAAUUCGGUAGGGGAGACUGGAAUUCCUGGUGUAGCGGUGAAAUGCGCAGAUAUCAGGAGGAACACCGAUGGCGAAGGCAGGUCUCUGGGCCACUACUGACGCUGAGAAGCGAAAGCGUGGGGAGCGAACAGG
Molecule: ribosomal RNA, 254 nt
Filed under: uncultured bacterium
Lineage: Bacteria
Description: partial 16S ribosomal RNA
Rfam family: Bacterial small subunit ribosomal RNA
Source: RNAcentral